GUCAAUGACCAAAAGGUCCAAAAUGAAGGAAUGAGAAUCGUUUUGCAGGGCUAAUUUGAAGCAGCGAAAAAUCAUAGGGGCCACAGUGUAAACAUCUGUUCUUUCUUCCUACCCAUCUCUGCAUCUUCGCCAUUGAUUGAAGCUGUCGAGCUGUGAUGAACUGAAGAAAAAACUCGACUCUCAUUUGGACAGAAUCCCAUAUGGCUUUGGUGUAUAAUCUUCCUCAAAGUUUCCCCUGGAACCCAUCAAGAAUUCAGAAAAUGAGAACAUCCUCAGGUUCAUAUAUCAGCCAUAGACAACCUCAGAAGCUACAGAAAGUAAUCUGUGCAAAGGAGAGGAAGAGAUGCCUGAGGUGCAACACUAUUUAUCAAGAUAAAGAUAACUCUCCAACUGCUUGCUCUUUCCAUGGCCACACUAGUGUCUUGGAAAAUCAAAAGCUACAGUAUUAGGUGCACCUUCAGACUCCAGAAAGAACAAAUUUUCAUUUGUCCUGAGGAUAACCAGUAUAGCCGAAAAGCAUUUUUGUAAUUUGGCGAUGCAAGAGAAAAGAAAUUAUCAUCAAGUGGAGAUUAGGGCUGCUUCAUUAAGAUGCUAUAAUAUUGAUAUAGAGUUCUUCUAUAACUACAUUAUAAGUAACAAGGAGAGAGAGGAUUAUUUGCAUUUGCCCCACCACACCAAGGUAUUGAUGGAGAGUGGAGCGAUAAAUCUGGUGUAAUUGUGUACAGAUGGAAUGAGAAGGAUAAUAGACCAAAUACAGGGAUAUCCAACUGGAAAAAGCGAUGGAGCUGUUGUGCCGAGUAUGAUGAGAAUGCCCCACCUUGCAGGCAAGGAUGGCAUGUAUCCUAUGAUGAUGGCUUCACUUUAUACUAACGGAACUUUGGUUAUGUGUAUAUCCUUUUGCAUUUGUAAAGCCUGCAAUCCACUAAUCAAUUACCUGCCGAAACAAUGACUAUUGAUCAAUGAGUUGGUAACGAGUGUUAUGGUUCAUAUUGUAAAGAAGGAACAUGGUUGCUUAUAUAUGAAAGGAUGCAUUUCCAAUGAAAACUUCAUUCAUCU
Molecule: non-coding RNA, 1056 nt
Organism: Coffea arabica (coffee)
Lineage: Eukaryota; Viridiplantae; Streptophyta; Magnoliopsida; Gentianales; Rubiaceae
Source: RefSeq, a predicted model, not a curated record